UGGGGAAUAUUGCACGAUGGGCGAAAGCCUGAUGCAGCAACGCCGCGUGAGGGACGACGGCCUUCGGGUUGUAAACCUCUUUUAGCAAGGAAGAAGCGAAAGUGACGGUACUUGCAGAAAAAGCGCCGGCUAACUACGUGCCAGCAGCCGCGGUAAUACGUAGGGCGCAAGCGUUAUCCGGAAUUAUUGGGCGUAAAGAGCUCGUAGGCGGUUUGUCGCGUCUGCUGUGAAAACCCGAGGCUCAACCUCGGGCCUGCAGUGGGUACGGGCAGACUAGAGUGCGGUAGGGGAGAUUGGAACUCCUGGUGUAGCGGUGGAAUGCGCAGAUAUCAGGAAGAACACCGAUGGCGAAGGCAGAUCUCUGGGCCGUAACUGACGCUGAGGAGCGAAAGGGUGGGGAGCAAACAGGCUUAGAUACCCUGGUAGUCCACCCGUAAACGUUGGGAACUAGUUGUGGGGUCCAUUCCACGGAUUCCGUGACGCAGCUAACGCAUUAAGUUCCCCGCCUGGGGAGUAC
RNAcentral lists this ribosomal RNA (517 nucleotides) under uncultured bacterium. RNAcentral's name for it is "partial 16S ribosomal RNA". It matches the Rfam family "Bacterial small subunit ribosomal RNA", at positions 355 to 883 of the family's 1533-position model. The record is from RNAcentral.